UCUUAUCCUGAGUGGUGGAGGGACAUGGACCCAAUGAAACCCAGCAACCUCUUUUUUUAAAGAAAGGUGCCAAACCGUUUGCAGACAUAUACUCGUCUGAACGAUAAGA
Molecule: non-coding RNA, 109 nt
Filed under: Staphylococcus haemolyticus
Lineage: Bacteria; Bacillati; Bacillota; Bacilli; Caryophanales; Staphylococcaceae
Description: SAM riboswitch (S box leader)
Rfam family: SAM riboswitch aptamer (S box leader)
About the family: The SAM riboswitch is found upstream of a number of genes which code for proteins involved in methionine or cysteine biosynthesis in Gram-positive bacteria.
Source: RNAcentral